Solanum pennellii is the source of this 1394-nucleotide long non-coding RNA. RefSeq lists it as uncharacterized. NCBI's taxonomy places the organism in Eukaryota, Viridiplantae, Streptophyta, Magnoliopsida, Solanales, Solanaceae. The record is from RefSeq and is a predicted model, not a curated record. The transcript is spliced from 2 exons.
UCUUUGCCCCUCAUCUCUCUCAUCCUCUCCAUCUCACUUACCUCUUUUUCCUGUUUAGUAUGUACCUAUGAAUCGUACUUAAGCAAAUUAUAUAGUUAUAGAUCUCUAUUAAAUCUAAAGUAUAGUCAUUUUAAAAAGUUUUUCAGUAUCAUGAUAAUUCAUAUAAUAAAGUUGGAGUAAAGGGUCUACUAAAUCAUACAAAAAAAUAAGUUUUCUUCUUAUAAUUAGUUUCCCUUUAUGUCUUUCUCUUUAAAGUAUUUGGUAUUUAAAUCUAUCGAAGAAAAUUAUAUAUAUAUAUAUAUAUAUAUAUAGCUUCAGAAAAUUAUACAUUCCCUUGAGAUAAAGCACUCACUUUCUAAAAAGCAAUUAACUAUUUUUAUUUUUUAUUUUUAAAAAAUUAAAUUAAUUCAAUUAAAUUUAAAUAUAAUUUUUUUUUGUCCAAAUAAAUAAGACUGUGACGCCUAAAGGUGCACUGUUUGAGCACGAGGACUUCACGUGAAGGACAGGCGCUGAAUUUUGUUUAAUACAAAGCUCACAAUAAACUCUUUUUUUGUCUUUUUCUUUCUUUUUGUUUUUUUUUGCCAAUUAUUUUUGUCCUUCACUUAUCACAAAUCACAAUCCAUUAAAUCAAAAUUUGUUUGGAUCAAAACUAUUUUGGAUUGUGCUUUUUCGUAGAAUUAGCGAUGAGUGGUAAUGUGCUCGUUACUACUAAUAUUCAAGUAAAUAAUGUUCGAAUUGAAGAGGACUAAUUGCAUAUUUUAAAAUGUUGGAUUGAAAUUUGGAAAAAGAACUAAUAUAUUUCUAAACUAUCGUAAACGGUAUGAAGAUAUCCUUCGUUAUUUAGGACAUUGGUGCUCCUGCUGUCCAAAAACUAUAUAACAUAUAUAUCUUUUAUACUGACAUACAUACACAUGUCGUAAUCUUAUUCAUCGACUGACAUUUAUUAAAUAUCGAAUCGACAGAUAAGAUUGUGUCACACGUUCCUAUUUAGUCUUCGGUUAGAGUGAAAGGUAUAUGUGCUCUACUUUUUGGACGGCAGGAGCACCAAUCCCAAAAGUAUGACGGAGGGUAUCUGCAUACCAUUUACGAUAGUUCAGGAACUUGGCGAAAGAGAAAUGGAGAGCUGCCGGAACCUAUCGAAUUGAAGUAAUCUAAUAAGUGUGACUGUUGAGACGAUCUUAUGUACACCCUCCAUUUGGUCUUUGUUACUAGUGGUAAGUUUGCUAUGUAAGUACAACAAUAUUUGUGAGUUUCAAAUCUUGAAUCCACUCCGGAUAAUAGUAGUCAGAACUAGCAAGGAACCAAGGUUGAAUGAAUACCUAAAAUUCUAUGUUAGCAAUGUAUUAGCCUAAGCUUGUAUUGCACUCGUUCCGAACAAGUUGACUUCAGAUCAA